AUGAAAGAAGGGGCAACAAUGUCGGAAGAAGGGGCAACAAUGUCGGAAGAAGGGGCAACAAUGUCGGAUGAAGGGGCAACAAUGUCGGAUGAAGGGGCAACAAUGUCGGAUGAAGGGGCAACGGCGUCGGAAGAAGGGGAAGGGGCAACGGCGUCGGAAGAAGGGGAAGGGGCAACUGUGUCGGAAGAAGGGGCAACGGCUUCGGAAGAAGGGGCAAUUGCGUCGAAAGAAGGGGCAAUGGAUGCCACUGGUAGUGAAGAGGAGUCCGAUGCCUUGUCUAAUGGCAGCCCCAUACCACCUAAGAGGGGAAGGGGUAGGCCCAAAGGAUCAGGCUCCAAGAAACCUAAGAUACUGAGGGUACUAGACAAGCAGCCACGGGGCAGGCCACGUAAAGUGGUUGACCCUAAUGCUGUUUCAGCAGAGCGUGGCCGGCCCAAAAAAGUUCAGCAAAAAAAAAAAUUGGGUAGGCCGAGGAAGUACCUGUCACCCGAGGAGGAAGAGGAGAGAAAGAUAAUGGAAAGCCAACCUAGAGUGUGGAAGCCGCUCGGAAGGCCGCGCAUCCAUCCCCGCAGGGAUCCCCCCGCCACACCCACCUCUGCCGAGCCACGGAGAAGAGGCCGUCCACUCAAGGCAUCAACAGAUAGAGGUGCCAACUUACAGACGAACCCACCUCCAACUUCUAAAGUUUCAAAGCCCCCCGCUAAAGAUGAUUCCCCGCGAAAGAGUGGCCGCCCCUUAGGCUCCUUCAAAGCCAAGAGAGCAGCAGAGACGGAUAGGUCCAACAGUUCACCCUCAGCCAAACAGGGUUGCACUGUUUCUCCAAUAGUAAGGCUUUACCGCUGCUCCAACGGUAAAGCAAAUGUGUUCGAUGAAGCUGCCUUCCAAGCCCAGAGGCAAAAAGGCAAGAGAAAGUCUGUGAACGCUGAUUAUACAGCGUAUGAUUCAGAGGAGGAAAAUGAAGAUACACAGAGAAAUGAGGAUGAAGUCUUUUCUCUAGUAGAAGAUGACAAAGAAGAGGAAAUUAAACCACGCGAUGGUCAUGGCAAGGCUAGUAAACCUGGUAAGGUAGUGGCAGCUAUUAAGAAAAAAGAAGUGGUUGUUCCUAAGAGGGGGGGCAGAAAGCCUGGCUCAAUCAAAAAGGUUGUAAAGUAA
RNAcentral lists this long non-coding RNA (1152 nucleotides) under Oncorhynchus mykiss (rainbow trout). RNAcentral describes it as "lncRNA (ENSOMYG00000042864.2)". Lineage: Eukaryota; Metazoa; Chordata; Actinopteri; Salmoniformes; Salmonidae. The record is from RNAcentral.